Molecule: ribosomal RNA, 562 nt
Filed under: Candida tropicalis
Lineage: Eukaryota; Fungi; Ascomycota; Pichiomycetes; Serinales; Debaryomycetaceae
Description: partial large subunit ribosomal RNA
Source: RNAcentral
UUGCCUUAGUAGCGGCGAGUGAAGCGGCAAAAGCUCAAAUUUGAAAUCUGGCUCUUUCAGAGUCCGAGUUGUAAUUUGAAGAAGGUAUCUUUGGGUCUGGCUCUUGUCUAUGWUUCUUGGAACAGAACGUCACAGAGGGUGAGAAUCCCGUGCGAUGAGAUGAUCCAGGCCUAUGUAAAGUUCCUUCGAAGAGUCGAGUUGUUUGGGAAUGCAGCUCUAAGUGGGUGGUAAAUUCCAUCUAAAGCUAAAUAUUGGCGAGAGACCGAUAGCGAACAAGUACAGUGAUGGAAAGAUGAAAAGAACUUUGAAAAGAGAGUGAAAAAGUACGUGAAAUUGUUGAAAGGGAAGGGCUUGAGAUCAGACUUGGUAUUUUGUAUGUUACUUCUUCGGGGGUGGCCUCUACAGUUUAUCGGGCCAGCAUCAGUUUGGGCGGUAGGAGAAUUGCGUUGGAAUGUGGCACGGCUUCGGUUGUGUGUUAUAGCCUUCGUCGAUACUGCCAGCCUAGACUGAGGACUGCGGUUUAUACCUAGGAUGUUGGCAUAAUGAUCUUAAGUCGCCCGCA